Molecule: ribosomal RNA, 459 nt
Filed under: uncultured bacterium
Lineage: Bacteria
Description: partial 16S ribosomal RNA
Rfam family: Bacterial small subunit ribosomal RNA
Source: RNAcentral
CCUACGGGAGGCAGCAGUGAGGAAUAUUGGUCAAUGGCCGGGAGGCUGAACCAGCCAAGUCGCGUGAGGGAAGAAUGUGCUGAGCGUUGUAGACCUCUUUUGUCGGGGGACAAAAUCACCGACGGGUGCGUGUCGGAGGGUACCUGGAGAAAAAGCAUCGGCUAACUCCGUGCCAGCAGCCGCGGUAAUACGGAGGAUGCGAGCGUUAUCCGGAUUCAUUGGGUUUAAAGGGUGCGUAGGCGGGCCAUGAAGCCAGCGGUAAAAGCGCGGAGCUCAACCCCGUCGAGCCGUCGGAACUGAGGACCUUGAGUGGGGCAGAGGCAUGCGGAAUGCGUGGUGUAGCGGUGAAAUGCAUAGAUAUCACGCAGAACCCCGAUUGCGAAGGCAGCAUACCGUGGCGCCACUGACGCUGAAGCACGAAAGCGUGGGUAUCGAACAGGAUUAGAUACCCGGGUAGUC